Prosopis cineraria is the source of this 2074-nucleotide RNA transcript. RefSeq lists it as uncharacterized. The transcript is spliced from 6 exons. Lineage: Eukaryota; Viridiplantae; Streptophyta; Magnoliopsida; Fabales; Fabaceae. The record is from RefSeq and is a predicted model, not a curated record.
AAAGAUAUAAACUUGUAUAAAAUAUAUGGAGUUGAAUGCCUGUCAUGCUAAUUUAAUUAUUUGGGUUGUCAUGCAUUUUAGAUAUCAGGUCAUUUAAAAUAUGGUUUCUUUGCAGUUACCAAUCCUGCUGGCAGCUAUGAUUAUUUGUUGUAUAUUUAGAGCUCAAAUUUAAGACCUUUAAUUAAGAGACAUAAAUUCUUUAUUAGUUGAUGUAAGCGCCAGAUAGUUCUUGAAAUAAGCAUUGAAUUUAAACCAAUAGAAGAAUUAAUUUACAUAAUAAUAUAAUAUAAUUUUUUUGUAAUUAUAAUGUACUAUUAAACAUGCAAUAAAUUUUUAGAAGAUUAUUUUUUUUUAACCUGAUUAAAAGAUAAUCGUUGUCAAAGAAUCAUAGCUAUAGACAUUGACACAUUAUUCUUUUUUAUAAUAUCUUAAAUAAAAUAUCUAUCAUAUUUUUUAAUUCUUAUUCUUAUUCUUCCCUUCCCAUGGUGGUUGUUUUUUUUUAAUAAAUAUUUUCAAGAGGGAAUAUCAAUUAGAUUCCAAAAAAAUUGAUUAAAAGACAUUGAUCUUCCGGAUAAAAUUUAAUGAAAAAUAAAUUAUUAAUAUUAAUUUAAGUAAUUAUAAAUAAAAUUUUUUAUUAUAAUUUUAAAAUUAUAUUUAAUAUUUAAAUACUUAUUUAUAAUUAUAUCGAUUGAUAUUUUAAACUUAUUAAUUUAAUAUGUUGGAACCUCAUUCCUCUUUUUUUUUUUUUUUUUGGUUAAUUUUUUAAAGCGUAGUUCACCCGCGAGGCGAUUUCCACGAGGCAACACAGAAACGAACCAUAGAGAAAUCAACUCCAAAGUGCUUUCAUUCCUUGACAAGUAAAGAAGCAUCGAAGACCGGAAAUGUGGUGCAAAGGAUCAAGGACAACGAAAAAGUUCGAAACUUUCAAACGAGCUCAAGCUUAUGAGAGAGAGAGAGAGAGAGAGAGAGAGAGAGAGAGAUGUGAGAGUGAGUAUCGCAUUCUGGGUUUCUCCCGAUUUUGCAGGUUUUCUUCUGGCCUGGUGAAGCGUUUUCUCGAAGUGGAGAAAGCUCGAGAAAAUGUCGAGAAACGAGGUGGGGGAGAGCGUGCCUAUUCUUUCUUCAAAUAACGGCGGAGUUAGAGCGAGACCGGACCUGUUCUUAGUGGCGUGUAGAUGCUUCAGCUUGCUGACCAGUUUGGCUGCCAUUCUCUGCAUAGUCUUCAAUGUUCUAUCUGCUAUAAGGAGCUUCAAGCACAUAUCUGGUAUUUUCGAUGGCAUAUUUCGAUGCUAUGCGGUUUUGAUAUCUUGUUUGGUAGUUCUGGCUGAAACAGAAUGGAGCUUGAUCAUGAAGUCAUUCAAGGCUUUGGAGUGUUGGCCUUGCAGGGGUAUGCUACAGAUCUUUGUUGCAGUAAUGACAAGAGCCUAUCCCAAUUUUGUUGGGGAGCGAACAGAAUCUAUUCUUCAGAACGUAGCAUGCUAUAUGCUUCUUGCUUGUGGUGUACUUUAUAUUGUUUCGACUGUUGAUCUCUGCUUCUCAAUCUUGGAAUCAAAGACAAAGCUGACAUUCUUUAUAAUAAUAAAAAUUCAAGGGAAUCCUAUGUAUUAGCUUUAUGAAAAGUGCUCGGGAACAGAGGGAGACCUUAAGAGAGCAAGCAGCUAAGGAUCUGGAGGAGUUGGAACGGCGUAGAGAAGAGCUUGAACGUCUGCUUCUUGCAGAAAGGGUAUGAAAGCUUUUGAAUCAAGAAAUGCCAAAACGGUCUCAUGCUACAUGGUGAAGGUACCUCCAAUAAGCAACAGCAACCUCAUUCAGUUUAUGAUAUUGCAUGCGUGAACACUGUAUUUUUACUAUGAACAUGGUACGACAAUGUCGUUUUGUACAUUCUUUCUCUCUGUCACUCGCUUGUAUCCUUUGUAACUAUUGAACCUUGUUCUACAAGUAGAGCAAUUGACUGUAGCCAAUUCUGUGGAAUCUAUGAACACUUCAUGUAAAUACCCUGCUUGACAUGAAAAUAACAACAAUUUGGAGAGUUGUUUUGUAUAGUGUUUAUCAUCCAAGAAUCUGUAUUUUCAAUGUA